This 889-nucleotide long non-coding RNA is filed under the name Chelonus insularis. RNAcentral describes it as "uncharacterized LOC118064116, transcript variant X2". The record is from RNAcentral. Lineage: Eukaryota; Metazoa; Arthropoda; Insecta; Hymenoptera; Braconidae.
GAACAAUAUUUAUUGAAAUAAAUAGUAAGAAAUAAUUAUUAUGUUAUAGCCAAUAAUAUUAAACUCAUUAAUGAAUGUAAUUAAAUUGAUUGAUCAAUCAUACGCUAUUAAUCAACUUAAAUAUUAAAAAUUGUAACACUUCUCUCUGAAACGCGAAUUUCAUGAAUUAUUUUGAUCGGUGAGCUAUUUUAUAAAUAAUUAUAAACAAUAAAAAAAGAGGAUUUGAAAUAAUAGAAAAAGUGAUUGAUAUAAUGAGGUGGUGUUAAGUGCUUACAAAAGUGUAAUUGUGAAAUAAUACUCCAAUUUGAAAUUCUUAUCAAGGAAUUUGAAUACAAGAUAAAGCUUGGAAGCCAGCUCUUCUCAGCCUACUGGCCUUCAUGCUUCUAAUCAACGGAUGCAUGUACCCAUUAGGGUGCUUAUUGUGCGUGGGUGUACGACCAAUACAUUGAGGGACAAAGUCCAAGGAUCAAUGAAAAUUGCGUGACUGCUGGAAAACAAAAAGAAGAGCCAAAAGCAUUAUACACUUUCAGGGUGUCUAUAUAUAAUACUUGAAAAAGUUAAAUGCUAGCAAGCUAUCUAGACGAUCGCGCAUCUGCCGGGCAUUUUGGUGAAUCAUUCGGGUGUCUGAACUAUAUUAUGGCUUCCGUACAUAGUCCACGGGUGUUCCGGAAUAUUGCCUUCCCCGUUCUAGAGCAAAAGCUUCACGGUCAGCUGGAGAAGUCGGCUGUAAGGUAAGACCCACCAGCCUUUCAAUAAUUACCUUUAAAUCAACAAUCAUGACUCCAGUAAAGUCUGCCAGCUUGAUGAUGAAUAAGGGAAAAAUUCACUUCGACAGAUUUAUAGCUAUUUUAAUAGAGAAUAAAUGUUUUGAAAUAUUUUUAAACAAUUA